CGUGGAUUAUAGUACACGAAUCCGGGGGCCCGCGGGACCCAGGCACCGGUUCCCACGGGUUGCCUCCAAGGGCCAUGGGAGACCCUUUGAAGGCACCCUCGUGUCCUGGAAGGGUCAUGUGGUGUCGUUCGGAGGCCCUCCAAGGUCCAGCUAGGGUCGUGCCGAGCGAGCCAAGGGAAGGCAAAAGUGGGAAGGAAAUGAAGGUCUGAGGCCCCAUGGGGGAUCCUCGGGCAC
This is a long non-coding RNA of Beta vulgaris subsp. vulgaris (sugar beet), 234 nucleotides long. RefSeq lists it as uncharacterized. Lineage: Eukaryota; Viridiplantae; Streptophyta; Magnoliopsida; Caryophyllales; Amaranthaceae. The record is from RefSeq and is a predicted model, not a curated record. The transcript has 2 exons.